RNAcentral lists this ribosomal RNA (559 nucleotides) under Neogloboquadrina dutertrei. RNAcentral describes it as "SSU rRNA". The stretch from base 1 to 446 matches the Rfam family "Eukaryotic small subunit ribosomal RNA", at positions 1291 to 1608 of the family's 1831-position model. The record is from RNAcentral. Lineage: Eukaryota; Foraminifera; Rotaliida; Globorotaliidae.
UUCUUAGUUCGUGGAGUGAUCUGUCUGCUUAAUUGCGUUUCACUAAGGGCCCAUAAAUUCAAGGUAUGUUAGCUAUCGUUUCUCAAUUGACCCCUUGUCUUCGAUAAGCGCGUGUCUUUUAGAGUUUAAACAUUGCGCAUGCUGUUGGGUCCUGAAAGCAACGAACGUGACCGCAACGUCUUAUUGCCUUUAUCUUGCUAUAUUUUAAUUUAAUUAAAAAUAGCUAACAGAGGCUAAUUUAAAAUUAGACGGACCGCUGUACUUUUCUUAAACCAGAGGAAGGUUGCGGCAAUAACAGGUCUGUGAUGCCCUUAGAUGUUCCGGGCUGCACACGUGCUACAAUGAUCAGUACAGUGAGCAUCUCAAUAUUAUACACCGUAUUAAGCGCUUAGUUGCGAUUAUUGGCUCAUUAUUGGGUCUUUUAAUUGUAUUUCUAAUGCGCGCGGUAAAGCCUGCUUCGAGAGUAAGUGGGUAAUCCAUUGGAAGUAAUGAUUUCUCUUUUUAUAGCACACCUAUAUACGGCAUUCAUUCCCGGGACGACUAGUUUCGUCUUUUUUGU